GACUGGAUAGGAAGAUAAAAGGCAUCUUUUAUCUUUUAAAAGACCUAGUAAUAGGUAUGCUUUAGGAGGGGCUUGCGCCAUAUUAGUUAGUUGGUAGGGUAAUGGCCUACCAAGACGAUGAUGUGUAGCUGGACUGAGAGGUUGAACAGCCACAUUGGGACUGAGACACGGCCCAAACUCCUACGGGAGGCAGCAGUAGGGAAUUUUCGGCAAUGGAGGAAACUCUGACCGAGCAACGCCGCGUGAAUGACGAAGUACUUCGGUAUGUAAAGUUCUUUUAUCAAGGAAGAAAAGCAAAUGGCGAACCAUUUGUUUGCCGGUACUUGAUGAAUAAGCCCCGGCUAAUUAUGUGCCAGCAGCCGCGGUAAGACAUAAGGGGCAAGUGUUAUCCGGAAUUAUUGGGCGUAAAGGGUGCGUAGGCGGUCUAGUAAGUCAGUGGUGUAAUGGCAACGCUUAACGUUGUCCGGCUAUUGAAACUGCUAAACUUGAGUUAGAUAGAGGCGAGUGGAAUUCCAUGUGUAGCGGUAAAAUGCGUAAAUAUAUGGAGGAACACCAGAGGCGUAGGCGGCUCGCUGGGUCUUAACUGACGCUGAGGCACGAAAGCGUGGGGAGCAAACAGGAUUAGAUACCCUGGUAGUCCACGCCGUAAACGAUGAGUACUAAGUGUCGGGUUAAACCGGUACUGAAGUUAACACAUUAAGUACUCCGCCUGAGUAGUACGUACGCAAGUAUGAAACUUAAAGGAAUUGACGGGACUCCGCACAAGCGGUGGAUCAUGUUGUUUAAUUCGAAGAUACCCGAAAAACCUUACCAGGUCUUGACAUGUUUUUGCAAAAUGAUAGUAAUAUCGUGGAGGUUACCAGAAACACAGGUGGUGCAUGGUUGUCGUCAGCUCGUGUCGUGAGAUGUUAGGUUAAGUCCUAAAACGAGCGAAACCCUUAUCGUUAGUUGCCAGCACGUUAUGGUGGGGACUUUAACGAGACUGCCAAUGAUAAAUUGGAGGAAGGUGAGGAUCACGUCAAAUCAGCAUGCCCCUUAUGACCUGGGCUACAAACGUGAUACAAUGGCUGUUACAAAGGGUAGCUGAAACGCAAGUUCUUGGCCAAUCCCCAAAAACAGUCCCAGUCCGGAUUGAAGUCUGCAACUCGACUUCAUGAAGUUGGAAUCGCUAGUAAUCGCGAAUCAGCAUGUCGCGGUGAAUACGUUCUCGGGGUUUGUACACACCGCCCGUCAAACCACGAAAGUUGGCA
Molecule: ribosomal RNA, 1250 nt
Filed under: Candidatus Phytoplasma citri
Lineage: Bacteria; Bacillati; Mycoplasmatota; Mollicutes; Acholeplasmatales; Acholeplasmataceae
Also listed under: 20 other names
Description: bacterial SSU rRNA
Rfam family: Bacterial small subunit ribosomal RNA
Source: RNAcentral